GUUCUUCAAUCCUAACCCUAACCCUCCCCACCACCAUCUUUAUCUCUGCAAGCCUAGCCCCACCUCUACAACCCUAGCCCAACCUCUACAUCUCUUCCCAACCCAAAAUCAUAGCUCUCUCCACCACCAUCUCCACCUCCGCAACCCUAGCCCUAACCCUAACCCAAACCUUUGCCCUAACCUUAACCCUAACCCAACCGAUCAUCCUAACCCUAACCCAAUACAAACCCAUCUAUAAUAGAACUAACCCAACCACUCAAACUAACCAUAACCCAAAACCCAAUCCUAAUCCCA
This 294-nucleotide long non-coding RNA is filed under the name Elaeis guineensis (African oil palm). Its description in RNAcentral is "long non-coding RNA (EGUI_LNC014055)". The record is from RNAcentral. Lineage: Eukaryota; Viridiplantae; Streptophyta; Magnoliopsida; Arecales; Arecaceae.